This 253-nucleotide ribosomal RNA is filed under the name uncultured bacterium. RNAcentral's name for it is "partial 16S ribosomal RNA". It matches the Rfam family "Bacterial small subunit ribosomal RNA", at positions 524 to 776 of the family's 1533-position model. The record is from RNAcentral.
UACGUAGGGUGCAAGCGUUGUCCGGAAUUAUUGGGCGUAAAGAGCUCGUAGGCGGUUUGUUGCGUCGGCUGUGAAAUCCCGAGGCUCAACCUCGGGUCUGCAGUCGAUACGAGCAAACUAGAGUGUUGCAGGGGAGACUGGAAUUCCUGGUGUAGCGGUGAAAUGCGCAGAUAUUAGGAAGAACACCGGUGGCGAAGGCGGCUCUCUGGAACGGUACUGACGCUGAGACGCGAAAGCGUGGGGAGCGAACAGG